This is a long non-coding RNA of Rhopalosiphum maidis (corn leaf aphid), 558 nucleotides long. RefSeq lists it as uncharacterized. The record is from RefSeq and is a predicted model, not a curated record. The transcript has 3 exons. Lineage: Eukaryota; Metazoa; Arthropoda; Insecta; Hemiptera; Aphididae.
UUGAAGUUUCAACUGUAAGUUUUUUUCAAAUAUUUUCUAAUAAGAAUGUAGUUUUUUUGUUAGUUUUUGUUUGAUUGUUUCCAUUUAGUGAAUUAUUCAGUGAUUUCUACGUACUAGUUGUCAUAUAAAGAUUUUUGUUCUCGUUAUGAUGGCAGUACAGCAAAUCACUCAAGGCAUGCUAUGACAUGAAUUCACUUUUUUACCACUUGGGAGAGUAUCAAAAUCCUACGUUGAAAAUGGACUAGAAGAUACUGAUAAUAAUAAUGGUUUUUUGCAAUAUUGCAGUACAGUAGAUCACUCAAGGCAUGCUAUGACAUGAAUUAAAAUUUUUACCACGUGGGAAAAUUACAACAUCCUACGUUGAAAAUUAACUAGAGGAUACUGAUAAUGAUAAUGGUUUUAUGCAAUGUACGCGUAAUGGUUAUUAAAUGUAAUUGAAAGUAAAUUAAUAGUAGUGUAACAAUUGAAGUUUGUUAAAAAUCUGAAUAAAGGAUUGGUAAACAACUUUAGUUGUAAUUUUCAUUCAUAAAAUUUGCCUUAGCAAAAAUUAAAAUUAUU